This is a long non-coding RNA of Uranotaenia lowii, 379 nucleotides long. RefSeq lists it as uncharacterized. The transcript is spliced from 2 exons. The record is from RefSeq and is a predicted model, not a curated record. NCBI's taxonomy places the organism in Eukaryota, Metazoa, Arthropoda, Insecta, Diptera, Culicidae.
GCGGUUCGUGCCAAGAUAUUUUUUAAUUAAAGUGGGUUGAAUUACCAAGUUCUAGUUGUUCCUGCAGAAACAACUAGAACUUCUGGAAGCCUGGAUGGAGGAACCAUUUAUUCUAACAGCGUAGCUUGGGUGAAAUAUCAACAUGUCGAUGAAUUGGCCAUUGCAGCCUUUUUUAAUGCAAGUUGCAUUAUCUAACAAAGAUGCUGGGGCAGAACAUCAAGAUGACUGCCAAGGGCCUGAAGAACAGGUUGAUUGAGCAGCAUUCGUGGUAAUGAAGCAGACGAAAUCCCGGGCCAACCAAAAUAUACUCCAGGACCGUCAGCAAAUUUAUAUUUGUAUGCAACUCAUCCAGUUAAUAAAUGUAAUUUUCAAAAGUUCA